CGUCCGAUGCCACGUCGCCGGUAGCCAGUGGCGUUGACCGGCGAUGCUAUGAUUGGACGGAAAUCAAUUUCUUGUUUCGCCUUUUGAUAGGAACCUGUGGAUCUGGUUUCAGUUGAUCUACGGAGCCGUUUUCGGCGAUUACAUUU
Jatropha curcas is the source of this 146-nucleotide non-coding RNA. NCBI's taxonomy places the organism in Eukaryota, Viridiplantae, Streptophyta, Magnoliopsida, Malpighiales, Euphorbiaceae. The record is from Rfam.